Non-coding RNA from Nylanderia fulva, 1189 nucleotides. Lineage: Eukaryota; Metazoa; Arthropoda; Insecta; Hymenoptera; Formicidae. The record is from RefSeq and is a predicted model, not a curated record.
UUUUGGUAUAGAAAAAACGAUAAAUUUAUUUUGUAUAAAUCAUAAAAUCAACUUAGAACGAGAUGAAGAGUUUUUAUUAGCUGUCAAUACUGAUGGUUUACCGUUAAGCAAAAGUUCGAAUAGUUCGUUUUGGCCUAUUUUAUGCUCAAUCAAAUCAAUAAAAGUUCUUAUAAACCACAUAUUUUUAGUUGCUUUAUAUCAUGGUUCGGAAAAACCAAAAUCUGCUAAUAAUUUUUUUAAAGAUUUUGUAAAUGAAUGUAUUCAUCUAACAACUAAUGGCAUAUUAAUAAAUUCUUUUUGAUACAAAUUCAGAAUUUUAAUGUUAAUUUGUGAUUCUCCAGCUAAAUCAUUUGCUUUAUUUAUUAAAGGUCAUACAGGCCAUUUUUCAUGCACAAAAUGUGAAGAAGAGGGUGAAAUGUUUAAUCAUGUAUUACGGAGACAGAACGUUUUUGCAAAAGAACUGAUCAUACAUUUAGAACUACUGCUCAACCGGAACAUCAUAUUGGCAAAACGCUUUUCCUUUUGAAAAUUAUAUGCAACAAUUAAAGAAGAAAGUUCGUAAAUCAGCUCAGCCUUUACAGCAAGUUAUAUGUACAUCGCGUGCUUGAGGAAAGUAAUAUUGCUCAACAUAACUUUAAUAAUAUCUAAUAUAAUAUAAGUGUUCGAUAUACGACCUAUAUGAUUCACGCCGGACACCGAUCGCGGUGAUAUCACUGUUUUCGUUCUCGUAUCAUCUCGGUGAAAUUCGGCGUAUUCCGAAAACACGGACGAGUGGGGAAAUGAGCCUCGACGGUUUCCAUCGAUGUGUCCGUGAUAUACUUCUGUUACAACAGUCGCGCGAAUAACAAGUAAGACCUUCACAACAACCGGCGAGCGAACGAACGAACAUUGUACAUCGAUCUACUCGGCACCGCAACAAUAAAUCUCGAUCUUGAGAAUUAAAUUUGAUUGCAUAUGUUACGUGGAUUUCCCCGUCACAUCACAGUUUGGCGAGACAAUACAAUUAAGAGAAUUACGGACAUCAAAAUACUCGCAUCACGCAUACGAGAUCACAUUUUCUCGUACAAUAAGCGAUUAAUAAUAUAAGCGAGUAGUUUGGGCACUUAUGACACUUAUAAAAAAGCGCAUCAAAAGGCAAACAAAACCAAAAGUACAAACAUUCUUACUUCUAAUAAUGAAGAGUUGAAAG